This 392-nucleotide ribosomal RNA is filed under the name uncultured bacterium. RNAcentral's name for it is "partial 16S ribosomal RNA". It matches the Rfam family "Bacterial small subunit ribosomal RNA", at positions 523 to 918 of the family's 1533-position model. The record is from RNAcentral.
AUACGGAGGAUCCGAGCGUUACCCGGAUUUAUUGGGUUUAAAGGGUGCGCAGGCGGCCAUUUAAGUCAGCGGUUAAAUCGUGGGGCUCAACCCCAUUCUGCCGUUGAUACUGGGUGGCUUGAUUGCGGUCGAGGUUGGCGGAAUUCGUUGUGUAGCGGUGAAAUGCAUAGAUAUGACGAAGAACACCGAUUGCGUAGGCAGCUGACCAGACCGCAAAUGACGCUCAUGCACGAAAGUGCGGGGAUCGAACAGGAUUAGAUACCCUGGUAGUCCGCACAGUAAACGAUGAAUACUUGUUUUCGGCGAUAUAAUGUCGGAGGCAAAGCGAAAGCGAUAAGUAUUCCACCUGGGGAGUACGCCGGCAACGGUGAAACUCAAAUGAAUUGACGGGG